UACGUAGGUGUCAAGCGUUGUCCGGAUUUAUUGGGCGUAAAGAGCUCGUAGGCGGUUCGAUAAGUCGGGUGUGAAAACUCUGGGCUCAACUCAGAGACGCCACCCGAUACUGUCGUGACUUGAGUCUGGUAGGGGAGUGUGGAAUUCCCGGUGUAGCGGUGAAAUGCGCAGAUAUCGGGAGGAACACCAGUGGCGAAGGCGGCACUCUGGGCCAGUACUGACGCUGAGGAGCGAAAGCGUGGGGAGCGAACAGG
RNAcentral lists this ribosomal RNA (254 nucleotides) under uncultured bacterium. Its description in RNAcentral is "partial 16S ribosomal RNA". It matches the Rfam family "Bacterial small subunit ribosomal RNA", at positions 524 to 776 of the family's 1533-position model. The record is from RNAcentral.